Amphimedon queenslandica is the source of this 795-nucleotide long non-coding RNA. RefSeq lists it as uncharacterized. The record is from RefSeq and is a predicted model, not a curated record. Lineage: Eukaryota; Metazoa; Porifera; Demospongiae; Haplosclerida; Niphatidae. The transcript is spliced from 2 exons.
AUUAUUCAUAGUGUUUCUCCAUUUAUUUCAGAUACAGUGAAUGGUACUCACUCAAUCAAGGUCUUCGGAAAACUUUUCCUCUAGAAAAGUUUCCUCCUCUUCCGAAAAAGAUUUUUCUUGGGCGGAGUCAGAAGAAAGCAGUUGCCAGGCAACGAAUGUGGGAACUCCAAGUAUUCCUUCAGGGGUUGCUCUCCAUGAGUCCUGAGGUGGUUAAUUCCGUUCUUUUGAGAAGGUUUUUCAAGCAGACGGACAGCGACCGCGAGGAUGAGAUCUUCAACAAUAAGAUACAGCAACUUCAGUCAAGACGUGAUAUGUCUUAACUACUAUCAUCACUCCAUAUCUUCCUUAAUACUUUAGACUUCUAUUGAUAACAUUGUCUUGUGUCAUUUAAUCAACAAUCACUCAUUCCUAUUAUAUAUAUAUGAUUAUUAUUAUAAUUGUUUUGUCUAUUUUAUUGAUCAUUUCUCACUGUUGCGAUUCAUAUCUAUCUAUCUAUCUAUCACCAUGAUUACCCUCAACUAUUAUUAUUAUUAUUAUUAUUAUUAUUAUUAUUAUUAUUAUUAUUAUUAUUAUUAUAAAAAUAUUAGAGAAAAACAAAAAAGGGAAAGGAGAAGGAAGGCCCUAUGAGAAAAAAAACAAAAUGAAGAAAUGAUAGAUACAAUUAAGAAGAGACUAAUAAUAAAGAAGAAUAAAAGAGUCUCAUUAUUAUUAUUAUUACUAUUAUAAUUUAUAUACAUGAUUUUUGACCUAUCAACAGUUUCAUUUAAUGAGUAUGAUGUUGUCUGUUUAAACUUA